GCAAAAGUGAAGAAGGAUUUCAUUCAAUGGCCCCAUUUGCGCCCGCCACACCCACUCAAAGACUCACCUAGGACUACAACAUAUCCAAAGGGCAUCAAGAUCGGUGAUUCUGUCGGUGAAGGGUUGUCCUCCUAAGCCAAAAAAUAACCCAUCGUUGUUUGUAUCAAUCGGCACAAUUAAAAUUUAUGGAAUGACUGGGUCAUCUAGCAAAGGAGACUAAAAACUCUGUAAACAACAACAUCUUAAAUCCUGUAUGCAUAUGUACACGUACAUACAAACAUAAAAUCAUGUCACUCCAAUUUUAAUCAGAAUACAUAUGAUCGAUGUGUGAUAUCCUGAAAAAUAUUGACAAAUUAUUAAUGACAAAACCAUGGCAUUUUUUAUUUCCUGCCAGUCUACAGUUGUAUUUAUCACAACUGAAUCUCUUUUUCAAAAUAUGCAUAUGACCUAAGAAACUAAAGUGGUCAUGGGUUCCGGGAAUAGUCGGGAGCUGGAUGAUAGAUCUCAUUUUCAAGACUCCUCACCACAUUCGGGAGAAUCAUAUUGGGGUCCAUUGUCCGUCCGUUCGGUGGUCAUCGCUGCUGCUCCAGUGACUUAUUCCGUUGGCAAAGCGACUGGAGCAGCGUUGGCAGCAUCGCUUUCAGGGAUUUCUUCACCCAGUAUCGGAGUCGUCGUGGUCACUGGAGGUACAUGUGCAGCAAUUUGUGCCUUAGUAGCUGCCAGUAAUAAAAAUAACCAUGAAAAAUCAGAUUGAUGACGAGCAGACGCCAAAGUUGCACAAGGCAAAAGCAAAUAAAAAACGAGGCGAAGGUUUUAAAAAAUGUCGCCAUAUGUUAAAAGUCCAAUAUUUAGUCCAAGCAUUAAUGCAAAAAUAAGGUCUCAUUCUAAUUUCAAUAUUGUGAUUUAUAUAAUUAUGUGUGUAUGUAUCUCCCUAUCAAACUUUUAAAAGUAUUUAGAUUUCAUUCAUUAAUUUUAAAAAAAUACUCAGACUCGAAGCUUUGAAACUCUGUCAUACUUGUCUGGAUUAUUUUUUUUUAUCAAUAGGAUUACUGUUGCAUAUCUAGUUGCGAUGACGAUGAAUUACCAGAAUUACCAAUACUUACAAAUAUCUAAUACAAAUAAUGUGAUAUUAAAUCGCGGAGAUUUUUAAAACUUUUGCAUAAUGUGGUCGGUAAAUUAAUGAAAAUAAAUAAAUAAAUAUGUACGUACGUAUUUAUGUAUGUAUUCAAAUAAUAUUUAUUCCAGAUACUUGAAUAUACUUUAAUUAGCAUAUGUUAAUUUAAAUGUUGUUUUAAAUUUUUAUUUCUAAAUUAAAUAAUCUUGAUUAAUUACAAAAAAAUUAUAACCUCGCUGUUCUCAAUAAUUACAUAGGUACUUUUAUUUUUUCUAGCUUAAUUCUUAAAGCUUACAUGUAUUGUUUACAGUAAAUUUGAUGGUGGUUCUUAUUGAUUAUGUAGCAAAAUAACUUGUGCGAUGAUGUCUUGCCGAUUACAUGCAUAUUGCAAAUCCUUAGUACGAAGUACGAAAUCAUAAAAUUAUUGAAAUUGUAGGUAGUACAUAUGUUUAUGUUAACAUUGUAUGAAUGUUGUAUACCUAUAUUAAACGAUAGAUUUAGGUAUUCAAUAUAUAUGUAUGUAAUAAGAUUUCCAUAAUAUAUAACGCACACUAAGGAAACAAAUGCAUUAAAAAUCCUGGAAAGUUUUAAUAUACUACCGAUUUCAUAUUGCUAAAAAGUGCUUACGAAUUCAGGUUUAAUAAAUAAGUAAUUGCACAUUAA
Long non-coding RNA from Folsomia candida, 1777 nucleotides. RefSeq lists it as uncharacterized. The record is from RefSeq and is a predicted model, not a curated record. NCBI's taxonomy places the organism in Eukaryota, Metazoa, Arthropoda, Collembola, Entomobryomorpha, Isotomidae. The transcript has 3 exons.